CCCAGAUCCACAGCUGUGUGGCCCUCAAACAGCAAAAAGAACUGCUCCUGCCCAGGUCCACAGCUGUGUGGCCAUCAAACAGCAAAAAAACUGCUCCUGCCCAGGUCCACAGCUGUGUG
Molecule: long non-coding RNA, 119 nt
Organism: Cebus imitator (Panamanian white-faced capuchin)
Lineage: Eukaryota; Metazoa; Chordata; Mammalia; Primates; Cebidae
Exons: 3
Source: RefSeq, a predicted model, not a curated record